AUUGAACGCUGGCGGCAGGCCUAACACAUGCAAGUCGAACGGCAGCACAGAAGAGCUUGCUCUUUGGGUGGCGAGUGGCGGACGGGUGAGUAACACGUAGGAAUCUACCCAGUAGUGGGGGAUAACCUGGGGAAACCCAGGCUAAUACCGCAUACGCCCUGAGGGGGAAAGCGGGGGAUCUUCGGACCUCGCGCUAUUGGAUGAGCCUGCGUCGGAUUAGCUAGUUGGUGGGGUAAGGGCCCACCAAGGCGACGAUCCGUAGCUGGUCUGAGAGGAUGACCAGUCACACCGGAACUGAGACACGGUCCGGACUCCUACGGGAGGCAGCAGUGGGAAUAUGGACAAGUGGGCGCAAGCCUGAUCCAGCCAUGCCGCGUGGGUAGAAG
RNAcentral lists this ribosomal RNA (386 nucleotides) under uncultured bacterium. RNAcentral's name for it is "bacterial SSU rRNA". It matches the Rfam family "Bacterial small subunit ribosomal RNA", at positions 29 to 413 of the family's 1533-position model. The record is from RNAcentral.